Molecule: long non-coding RNA, 490 nt
Organism: Gossypium arboreum
Lineage: Eukaryota; Viridiplantae; Streptophyta; Magnoliopsida; Malvales; Malvaceae
Exons: 2
Source: RefSeq, a predicted model, not a curated record
AUGGUUUACAAACACCUAGGGGUCACAGCCAGAGUUAGUUUGCUCAGGCACUAAUCGACCCUUUUUCUGUAGAUCUGCAGGGAAAGGAGCUUGGCAGCUGCUGAUAUGUGAUUUUAGCCUAGGAAUGUUAGGAAUCACGGAAAAAUGCAGUGGUGAAAGAGUUCCAAUGCUUCUUAUGCUUGAGAUGUUUGGAGUCGAAAUCUUGGCUAAUAACGUGCAGGUGCAGUUGGCGCAUCGAAGGGACCUGCAGGAGGAGAUAUAUGCAACACACCAUAGGUUCAAAUGGCACAUUCCACUGUCCACCAAUCAUUGAAGAUGACAAGACACGGACCAAGACACAUGGGUAGAUUGAUUGUAAUCUGAAGCAUAAUAAAAUGCUAGAUUCUCCUAUACGGAUGACCAUACUACUCUAUUCUUAAACUUCUUCACAACUGUUAAACGAUUGUCGUAAAAUAUUUUUGCUAUAAGUAUUUAGUUCUUUAUCCAUAAA